This 72-nucleotide transfer RNA is filed under the name Camelus bactrianus (Bactrian camel). It matches the Rfam family "tRNA". From Rfam's summary of the family: Transfer RNA (tRNA) molecules are approximately 80 nucleotides in length. RNAcentral also lists the same sequence under 2 other names. Lineage: Eukaryota; Metazoa; Chordata; Mammalia; Artiodactyla; Camelidae. The record is from Rfam by way of RNAcentral.
GAGGGUAUAGCUCAGUGGUAGAGCACAUGUUUAACAUGCAGGAGGUCCUGGGUUCAAUCCCCAGUACCUCUA